This 730-nucleotide ribosomal RNA is filed under the name uncultured bacterium. Its description in RNAcentral is "bacterial SSU rRNA". It matches the Rfam family "Bacterial small subunit ribosomal RNA", at positions 771 to 1501 of the family's 1533-position model. The record is from RNAcentral.
AACAGGAUUAGAUACCCUGGUAGUCCACGCCGUAAACGAUGUCGACUUGGAGGUUGUUCCCUUGAGGAGUGGCUUCCGGAGCUAACGCGUUAAGUCGACCGCCUGGGGAGUACGGCCGCAAGGUUAAAACUCAAAUGAAUUGACGGGGGCCCGCACAAGCGGUGGAGCAUGUGGUUUAAUUCGAUGCAACGCGAAGAACCUUACCUACUCUUGACAUCCAGCGAACUUAGCAGAGAUGCUUUGGUGCCUUCGGGAACGCUGAGACAGGUGCUGCAUGGCUGUCGUCAGCUCGUGUUGUGAAAUGUUGGGUUAAGUCCCGCAACGAGCGCAACCCUUAUCCUUUGUUGCCAGCGAUUCGGUCGGGAACUCAAAGGAGACUGCCGGUGAUAAACCGGAGGAAGGUGGGGAUGACGUCAAGUCAUCAUGGCCCUUACGAGUAGGGCUACACACGUGCUACAAUGGCGCAUACAAAGAGAAGCGACCUCGCGAGAGCAAGCGGACCUCACAAAGUGCGUCGUAGUCCGGAUCGGAGUCUGCAACUCGACUCCGUGAAGUCGGAAUCGCUAGUAAUCGUGGAUCAGAAUGCCACGGUGAAUACGUUCCCGGGCCUUGUACACACCGCCCGUCACACCAUGGGAGUGGGUUGCAAAAGAAGUAGGUAGCUUAACCUUCGGGAGGGCGCUUACCACUUUGUGAUUCAUGACUGGGGUGAAGUCGUAACAAGGUAACC